AGCGUAGACGGUGUGGCAAGUCUGAUGUGAAAGGCAUGGGCUCAACCUGUGGACUGCAUUGGAAACUGUCAUACUUGAGUGCCGGAGGGGUAAGCGGAAUUCCUAGUGUAGCGGUGAAAUGCGUAGAGAUCAGGAGGAACAUCGGUGGCGAAGGCGGCUUACUGGGCUUUUACUGACGCUGAGGCUCGAAAGGCGUGGGAGCAAACA
This 207-nucleotide ribosomal RNA is filed under the name uncultured bacterium. RNAcentral's name for it is "partial 16S ribosomal RNA". It matches the Rfam family "Bacterial small subunit ribosomal RNA", at positions 568 to 774 of the family's 1533-position model. The record is from RNAcentral.